AUUUAUGUAGUUUAAUAUAAAAUUAUAUAUUUUCAUUAUAUAGAUAAAUAAAAUUUUCAUAAAUU
This 65-nucleotide transfer RNA is filed under the name Dipterophagus daci. RNAcentral's name for it is "tRNA-Glu". Lineage: Eukaryota; Metazoa; Arthropoda; Insecta; Strepsiptera; Halictophagidae. The record is from RNAcentral.